Molecule: small nuclear RNA, 154 nt
Filed under: Anser cygnoides (Swan goose)
Lineage: Eukaryota; Metazoa; Chordata; Aves; Anseriformes; Anatidae
Description: U1 spliceosomal RNA (ENSACDG00005012335.1)
Rfam family: U1 spliceosomal RNA
About the family: U1 is a small nuclear RNA (snRNA) component of the spliceosome (involved in pre-mRNA splicing). Its 5' end forms complementary base pairs with the 5' splice junction, thus defining the 5' donor site of an intron.
Source: RNAcentral
GCCUUUACCUGUAAGGAAAAAAUCAUGACCAAAAAGGUGAUUUUUCUAGAGCGAGGCAUAUUUUGUACUCGGUUUGGUAAACCUGGCAGUGUUCCCCAAAUGCAGGUCAUUCAUCUGGAUGCUUUGUGAUAGUGUGGAGAGUGGACUUGCCAUC